UACGUAGGGUGCGAGCGUUGUCCGGAAUUAUUGGGCGUAAAGAGCUCGUAGGCGGCCUGUCGCGUCGGAUGUGAAAGCCCGGGGCUCAACCCCGGGUCUGCAUUCGAUACGGGCAGGCUGGAGUGUGGUAGGGGAGAUCGGAAUUCCUGGUGUAGCGGUGAAAUGCGCAGAUAUCAGGAGGAACACCGGUGGCGAAGGCGGAUCUCUGGGCCAUUACUGACGCUGAGGAGCGAAAGCGUGGGGAGCGAACAGG
Molecule: ribosomal RNA, 253 nt
Filed under: uncultured bacterium
Lineage: Bacteria
Description: partial 16S ribosomal RNA
Rfam family: Bacterial small subunit ribosomal RNA
Source: RNAcentral